UAUAUACAUUUACACUGAUGGCACACUGCACAUCAGGAGCAAUUAGGGGUUCAGUGUCUUGCUCAAGGACGCUUCGACAGGGAAUCGAACUAGCAACCUUCUGAUUACUGAACGACUUCUCUACCACUGUACCGCUGUCGCAUAACCACAUAUUUGUCAUAUUUAAGAGCAUCUGUUCUGGAUCUGUUUGUUCAAUAAACAUAUCUUUCAGUGCUCAUGCCAUAGCCCAGAAGGGUGCCCCUCAUAGGUUAAGGGUCAUGGGUUAGGGGUUAAGGGUCAUGGGUUAAGGGUUAAGGGUUGUCGUGUUUGCUGUCAUUAGCGCCCCACAUGUUGCUGAAUGCCUAUCGGACUGAGUACUGUUGUCUUACGGUGUCGGCAUGUAAACUGGGAGUCCCAGCAUCGCCAUCUAUUGGAUGGAGGGACUUACUGCAGCGCCUCACUCCAGCGGUCAUGACCCUUUAGUUUAGCACACGCUGCUGCCCAGCAGGGGGUCACUCAGAGGUCAGAGGUCAGGACCCUUUAGUUUAGCACAUGCUGCUGCCCAGCAGGGGGUCAAUCAGGAGGUCAGAGGUCAAGAGGUCAGAGAGGGCUGUGCCCUCAGAGGUGAUCUGAAGAGUGAGGAGAAAUAAAGCUCUAUUUGAGACUGUAUGGUGUGUGUGUGUGUGUGUGUGUGUGUGUGUGUGUAUCGUAUAACCCUAACCCUUCAUGUACACGACGUGUGUAUGGUGUGUGUGUGUGUAUGGUGUGUGUGUGUGUGUGUGUCGUAUAACCCUAACCCUUCAUGUACACGAUGUGUGUGUGUAUGGUGUGUGUGUGUGUGUGUGUGAAUAUGAGUAUGCGUGUGUGUUUUUGUGUGUGUUCAAAAGGUGAGUGUGUGGGCCUGCCUGUGUGUGUCUGAGUAUGAGUAUGUGUGUGUGUUGCCCUGAUACCAGUUGUUUUACAAAAGUCUGAAAUUUUGUGUCUUAAUUUUAUGAUUUGUAAUAAGAGGCUAAUUGUAUUGAUUUGUAAUAAGAGGUAUAAUUACUAGACUGGAUGUUUUAAGGGUUUUAAAGGGAUUUUAAUUAUUUUAUUGUAGGAAACAUAAUGUGUGAUUAUGUCGUUUAUUAUUAUCUUUACUUGAUAAUAAAAUUCAAAAGAAAUCUGAAA
Molecule: long non-coding RNA, 1146 nt
Organism: Clupea harengus (Atlantic herring)
Lineage: Eukaryota; Metazoa; Chordata; Actinopteri; Clupeiformes; Clupeidae
Source: Ensembl